AAAAAACCAGGAGCAACAUACAUGAACAAAAUGGGCAAAACCGAGUUCAACUUUGAACAUGAUACAAGCUAAAAUUUUUACAACUCUUAAACAAUGACGUGUAAAGAAUGCUAUAUGGCCUAGCCUAUUUCAACAAAUCACCGCUCUAGUUGGUAUACAUUUGCCACAGAACAAACCUAUAAAAGAGUUGAUUUGCUGUAUGUCCAGCCCAAGGACCUCCUCCUUGUGCUUGGGGGUGCGGUGCGAAGCUAAGCCCGAACAUCUCCUUCAGAGCUUGCCCCUGUUCUACAAACCUUACCAGCUUUCCAACUAUGGCAGCACUCUCCAUAAUGUGGUUAAUAUCCUUCGUGUUGCUCCACAAGCUGUUAGCCAAUUGUAGCCUCCUACGUUUUGAGUUCAACCCUAUACCCCACUUCUGGUAGAUUCUCUUUCUCUCUUCUUCUGAUAACCUCUUUUGCAUCAGCUUGCUUAGCAUUCCUCUCUCCUUAUGAAGGGCUUUGAUGCUUGUUGCCAAUGUCAAUGUCUGACUCCAACCACCUCCCACAGAAUGAUUCCCUUGAGUAAGUGUUUCCUUAAGGAACGAAAGUCUCCUAAGCUCCACUUCCAUGUAUACAGAAUCUGUUGGAUCGCCUUUAAAGAGUAGGAAAAAGUAAGCUCUAUGAACCAAGGAAACAUUACAAGUUUGCCAAAGUUCAAUUAUCUCUCCCCGCUGCCUCUCAAAUGCCAAUGGCCAAUCACUAGAAGUUUCUAAUGCUUCACCCAUGGGAUCCAAUCCAACAUCUUUCGCAUUCUUUUCAAAUUUGCGAUCCAUUUGGUCUGUCUCCCGAACCUGACCAUCAACUAGUUGCUUCUCAUACUCCUGCUUGGCCAUCUCCUGCAGUCCUUCAACAAAAGUUUGGAUGCU
RNAcentral lists this unclassified non-coding RNA (904 nucleotides) under Hevea brasiliensis (rubber tree). Lineage: Eukaryota; Viridiplantae; Streptophyta; Magnoliopsida; Malpighiales; Euphorbiaceae. The record is from RNAcentral.